AUAUUAAUAAGCGGAGGAAAAGAAACUAACAAGGAUUCCCCUAGUAACGGCGAGUGAAGCGGGAUGAGCUCAAGCUUAAAAUCUCCGUGCAAAAUUUGCAUGGCGAAUUGUAGUCUAUAGAGGCGUGAUUAGCGUAGGCACUUGGGGCAAGUUCCUUGGAAGAGGACAGCAUUGAGGGUGAUACUCCCGUUCCCUCCCGAGUUGCUUAUGCGUAUAAUCCGUUUUCUUUGAGUCGCGUUGUUUGAGAAUGCAGCGCAAAGUAGGUGGUAAAUUCCAUCUAAAGCUAAAUAUUGGUGCGAGACCGAUAGCAAACAAGUACCGUGAGGGAAAGAUGAAAAGAACUUUGAAAAGAGAGUUAAAGAGUACCUGAAACUGCUGAAAGGGAACCAAAUCGUUUCCAGUAUCUAUAAUCCGCGGUAUAUUUCAUUGGCGAAUGUGUGCGUGCAUGUACUAUGGCAGCGGCUUUUUGCUGCGCCUUGUGUGUGUUUCGCAUUUUCUCGCUGGUGCCCUGUACUGUGGUGGGACGUCAAUGUCGGUUCGUAUGCUGCGGGAAAUGACUGCCGAGGAGGUAGGGCGAACGCUUGCGUUUGUCUGUUACAUCUGGGCGGACUUAGUAGUCGUGGUUGGGACUGAGGUGCCUAUAAUGUGCUUAUGAGUGGGAUCGAAUCUCCAUGUGCGCCGUGUGCGGAUAGCUUGCUAUGCGUGUGUAGCUGUGUGUGGAUUGAGUCGAGACGUAACUUAUUGCCGUUCGGGACGUUGACGAAAUGGAGCGAUUUGACCCGUCUUGAAACACGGACCAAGGAGUCUAACAUGUGUGCAAGUGUUAGGGUGUGGAAACCCCAGCGCGUAAUGAAAGUAAAGGAUAGCGUAAGUUAUCUUAGGUAGGAAAUGCUGCGGGUUCGUCCUGCGGCGUGGCACUAUCGACCGAUCAUGAACCUUCGUGGUGAAAGAUUUGAGUUUGAGCACAUAUGUUGGUACCCGAAAGAUGGUGAACUAUGCCUGAGUAGGGUGAAGCCAGAGGAAACUCUGGUGGAAGCUCGUAGCGAUUCUGACGUGCAAAUCGAUCGUCAAACUUGGGUAUAGGGGCGAAAGACUAAUCGAACCAUCUAGUAGCUGGUUCCCUCCGAAAUUUCCCUCAGGAUAGCAGCAACUGAUUUACGAUAGUUUUAUGAGGUAAAGCGAAUGAUUAGAGGAUUCGGGGAAGAAAUUUUCUCGACCUAUUCUCAAACUUUAAAUCUGUAAGACCUGCAGGUUUCUUAAUUGAACUUGCGGAUGUGAAUAUCAAGUUGCUAGUGGGCCAUACGGGGUAAGCUCGUCUGGCGAUGCGGGAUGAACCGAACGCAAAGUUAAAGUGCCAAAGUACUCGCUCACCUAGAUACCAUAAAAGGUGUUGGUUCAUUUAGACAGCAGGA
Molecule: ribosomal RNA, 1412 nt
Filed under: Bremia lactucae (lettuce downy mildew)
Lineage: Eukaryota; Oomycota; Peronosporomycetes; Peronosporales; Peronosporaceae
Description: LSU rRNA
Rfam family: Eukaryotic large subunit ribosomal RNA
Source: RNAcentral